Molecule: long non-coding RNA, 1669 nt
Organism: Cephus cinctus (wheat stem sawfly)
Lineage: Eukaryota; Metazoa; Arthropoda; Insecta; Hymenoptera; Cephidae
Exons: 3
Source: RefSeq, a predicted model, not a curated record
CUCUCUCUCUCUCUCUCUCGUAGCUACAAAGGGACUAAAUAAUUUAAUACGAAUAUAUUAAAACUUUAAGGGAUGUAAGAAAUUUUUUGCCAACUUAUUUUUUGAUCUAUAAACCAGCUACAAUCGUAACUAUCUUAACCUUAAGAAAUUCAGUGAAUUCUUGGUCGUGUUUGACUGUUUGACUUUUUUUUAGUGUACGCAUUGCGAUCGACUUUCCUAUUAAAAUUUGAGAGGGCUUGAACGACGAUAACGAGACAUGGAAAUUUUUGUGACGACGGGGUGGUUCUAGGGAAGUUACGAGCUAGUGGCCAGGACGUUCCUGACUGAUAUUACGGAGAUAUCCCGACGCCAGGAACGCAAUUGGAAUUCAAUCAGAUACUUGACAUGAAGUACAUACGCUGAUCGCCGGCAAUGAACCUACAUAGCCUGACUUAACCUAACCUCCGCUGCAAGGCUAAAAUCAUCUAUACGAAUGACAGGAGUGAGGAUGACUUUGAUUGGGAUCAAUAUACAUUGACAUUCCUCGAUACACUCUCGUUACACAAAGUAAGAAUACUUCCAGAUGCAAUUUUAUCUACGUUAUCGAUCCCAACGAACUCCACGUCGAUGAUAACCGGGCUCAAAUGUUUCGCAACGUACAAGAGUCUUUUAUCGUGUACGAGUAUCUGGAAUCAUCAAGAACAUUCAAGAGGAUCCUCUCUCGAGCGAAUACGAUCCUGAAUCUCUAAUCUAAAAUCACAGCAAUAAUCGUGUACUCAAGGGGUUCUUAUUAUUCCACGAAACGUCCUGACCUUCGUGACGCUAUUUCGACAUCGGGAGAAAAAUAUAAAACGUGAAUCCACGUGCGUCAGAGAUUCUAAUGAUCGCGUGCUCAUCAAACAUUUCAACCCCCGUUUUAACGUAUCUUAUAAGCAGCUCACCUUGGAUCCCAAUCUGACCCCUUAAAAUUCAAUGCUUGUCCCAUCCCUGAGGGAUACGACAUAUCCCCGGUAACUUGACAAUGGCCAAAGUUUUCACCUUGAAUUGACAUCCGAAGGAAGGAACACGAUGUUGAAAAUCUUUUUAAAAAUUCACACAGGAUACAAUGGAUGGAAAAUAAUUAUGAUUGACCGGUUGGCUGGCUUCCUGGGACAUGGCACCGAAAUCCGAGAUGAUCGACCGUUACGUCUAGAGUUCCCGUAGACACGUGCGAACAGCACGCGCGUGUUAUAUACAUAUAUAUAUAUAUAUAAACACAGCAGCAAAUGAUAGCAGCGGUAAGCCACUCGAUAAGGUCCAAACCUUUUCCUUUCACUUUGAACCCUUCCUCAUCUUCGACUCACUCUCUUCCCACGUGUUACGUCAUCUAGAUCCAAUGCUCGUGCCAGCCCCACCUACAGAUGCUAAUGCUAGCCAUCUUCAAGUGAUACGCUUCACUGGACGAAAUGAAUGCCAGAGCAACUUGUGUGUAAAAUUCAAAGCAUCGAGGACAUUUCUGUGAGGGGUUGGAUAGACAAGAAGGGAUAGGUAGGAUAUAACCAGGGUAUGGAAAAACGAGUCAAGGGUAAAUAUUGCCAGGAUAUAGCAAAGUCAAGUAAAACCGGAUGUUCCCUUUCCGGUUAGUGUCAUGGAUCUUGGUCAGAGGGUGCCUUUUGCCCGGUAUUAAAGAGGAAAACGAAUUCAAGAAGAA